RNAcentral lists this ribosomal RNA (522 nucleotides) under Lovenia elongata. Its description in RNAcentral is "partial 16S ribosomal RNA". It matches the Rfam family "Bacterial large subunit ribosomal RNA", at positions 1817 to 2531 of the family's 2925-position model. Lineage: Eukaryota; Metazoa; Echinodermata; Echinoidea; Spatangoida; Loveniidae. The record is from RNAcentral.
CGCCCCCUGAAAAACUUAUUAUAGGGGGUCCUGCCUGCCCAGUGACCAAAAAGUUAAACGGCCGCGGUAUCUUGACCGUGCGAAGGUAGCAUAAUCAUUUGUCUUCUAAAUAAAGACUGGUAUGAAUGGCAAGACGGGGCCUUACUGUCUCCUUCCUUUUAAUCUGAAUUUCACAAUCUCGUGAAGAGGCGAGAAUAAAUUCGUUAGACGAGAAGACCCUGUCGAGCUGAAGCAAAGCUCUAACCUAUACUUGUUAUUAAUUUUAACUAAUUAAGAAAAGUAGUAAAAGCUAAUACAUAUAUGGAUUAGAGUAAAGCUUUGAUUGGGGCAAUCCCGGAGGAAGAAAAUCCUCCGUUACUACAUGAUUAAAAGUUAAGUUAAUACAAAAGAAUUACAUUCCUAAAGUCAUUCAAAAUGAAGGAGUGAUCCACUUACAGUGAUCAAAGGAACAAGUUACCGCAGGGAUAACAGCGUUAUCUUUUCUGAGAGUUCACAUUGACGAAAAGGUUUGCGACCUCGAUG